GAGAGAGAGAGAAAGCGAAAUAAGUGAAGUGAAUAAUUGAAUGAUAACAAUAUUAUACAAUUCGCAGCGAGGUUAAGUUACAGCAAUUAUAAUACAGUUGCAUAAUGAUGUAACACUACUGAGAAUAAAAAAGUGUAUUAUAGACUGGCUAAGACAUGCCAAAGAAAGAUACGUAAGACAUUCGAACAAUGACAAUGAGGAAGCAGCAAGACCACAAACAAUAUUACUUUUAUUACUUUUUGUAUUAUUUCGUAUUUUAUUACUUUUCGUAUUAUGUUUCUGUUUCGUGUCAUAUCGGAGGUAUGUGUUUAAAGCUUUUUCUUUGUGCUGCAAGAACUUACAAGAAUUUUUUAUUUACUUUUAACACUUAGAAACUUGUGAUAAUUUUAAGAGGUACUGUUAAGAGUUAUGCUUAUAAAGUUUAUAAAGUUUCCUUUUAUAAAUGAAAAGUUAUGUUAUUGUAAACUUUAUGUUUUUUUAAAGAGAUUUGUUACUAUUAUAUAAGAUUAAUAUAUACUUCUACAGCCGAUUUUUACAUUGAAAGACUGAUUAUAUAAAUAAACAUUUAUUCUGCAAUGUAAA
Molecule: long non-coding RNA, 582 nt
Organism: Ooceraea biroi (clonal raider ant)
Lineage: Eukaryota; Metazoa; Arthropoda; Insecta; Hymenoptera; Formicidae
Source: RefSeq, a predicted model, not a curated record